UACGUAGGGGGCAAGCGUUGUCCGGAUUUAUUGGGCGUAAAGAGCGUGUAGGCGGCCAUGUAGGUCCGUUGUGAAAACUCGAGGCUCAACCUCGAGACGCCGAUGGAAACCAUGUGGCUAGAGUCCGGAAGAGGAGAGUGGAAUUCCUGGUGUAGCGGUGAAAUGCGCAGAUAUCAGGAAGAACACCCGUGGCGAAGGCGGUUCUCUGGGACGGUACUGACGCUGAGACGCGAAAGCGUGGGGAUCAAACAGG
RNAcentral lists this ribosomal RNA (253 nucleotides) under uncultured bacterium. RNAcentral's name for it is "partial 16S ribosomal RNA". It matches the Rfam family "Bacterial small subunit ribosomal RNA", at positions 524 to 776 of the family's 1533-position model. The record is from RNAcentral.